AUUGAACGCUGGCGGCAUGCCUUACACAUGCAAGUCGAACGGCAGCGCGGACUUCGGUCUGGCGGCGAGUGACGAACGGGUGAGUAAUACAUCGGAACGUACCCUGUUGUGGGGGAUAACUAGUCGAAAGAUUAGCUAAUACCGCAUACGACCUGAGGGUGAAAGUGGGGGACCGCAAGGCCUCACGCAGCAGGAGCGGCCGAUGUCUGAUUAGCUAGUUGGUGGGGUAAAGGCCCACCAAGGCGACGAUCAGUAGCUGGUCUGAGAGGACGAUCAGCCACACUGGGACUGAGACACGGCCCAGACUCCUACGGGAGGCAGCAGUGGGGAAUUUUGGACAAUGGGGGCAACCCUGAUCCAGCAAUGCCGCGUGUGUGAAGAAGGCCUUCGGGUUGUAAAGCACUUUUGUCCGGAAAGAAAUCGCGCUGGUUAAUACCUGGCGUGGAUGACGGUACCGGAAGAAUAAGCACCGGCUAACUACGUG
RNAcentral lists this ribosomal RNA (484 nucleotides) under uncultured bacterium. RNAcentral describes it as "partial 16S ribosomal RNA". It matches the Rfam family "Bacterial small subunit ribosomal RNA", at positions 30 to 507 of the family's 1533-position model. The record is from RNAcentral.